AGAAGGGUCUGGGCUCGAGCCUGCCUGGAGCCGCCGCCGGUGCAGAUCUUGGUGGUAGUAGCAAAUACUCCAGCGAGGCCCUGGAGGACUGAUGUGGAGAAGGGUUUCGUGUGAACAGCCGUUGCACACGAGUCAGUCGAUCCUAAGCCCUAGGAGAAAUCCGACGCCUACGGCGACGGGAUUAUCGAAAUUUUCAAACGACCCGUUGAUCGGGCGAAAGGGAAUCCGGUUCCUAUUCCGGAACCCGGCAGCGGAACCGCUGUUUGUCGGGCCCUCACAAGGGGUUCGUCAGGGUAACCUAAAAGGGCCCGGAGACGCCGUCGGGAGCCCCGGAAAGAGUUUUCUUUUCUGCAUGAGCGUUCGAGUUCCCUGGAAUCCUCUCGCAGGGAGAUAGGGUUUGGAACGCGAAGAGCACCGCAGUUGCGGCGGUGCCCGGGAAUUCCCGACGGACCUUGAAAAUCCGGGAGAGGGCCACGUGGAGGUGUCGCGCCGGCUCGUACCCAUAUCCGCAGCAGGUCUCCAAGGUGAAGAGCCUCUAGUCGAUAGAAUAAUGUAGGUAAGGGAAGUCGGCAAAUCGGAUCCGUAACUUCGGG
This 593-nucleotide ribosomal RNA is filed under the name Ischnura rufostigma. RNAcentral describes it as "partial large subunit ribosomal RNA". It matches the Rfam family "Eukaryotic large subunit ribosomal RNA", at positions 1404 to 1940 of the family's 3401-position model. Lineage: Eukaryota; Metazoa; Arthropoda; Insecta; Odonata; Coenagrionidae. The record is from RNAcentral.